AUCGAUCACCUGAUAGUCUAAUAACUGAGAUUAUCAUUUUCCUUUGUUUAUGAUAAAGUGCAGCACUCCGCCUUGCCUACCCCGCCCGGGAUCGCUCAUCGCUCUCUGUCUCUUCUUCUUCUGCUUCUUCUCUAUAAAAUAAUCCAAAAUCCAACAAUGAGGAAGCUCCAACAUUCCCCCAUUACUCCUCGCCCCUUCCUCCUACUCACCAUGGCCGCACUACUCUCCAUCCCCCUCCUCUUCUUCCUCCUCCCCGCCUCCCUCCCCUUCCCCGCCGCCGCCCAGUCCUCUGCCAUCUCCCUCGCAUGCCGCGCCACGCGCUUCGACUCCUCCUGCCUCGACGCCCUUUCACGUUCCUCCGACCUCCCUCCCUCCCCCUCCUCCCUCGACUUACUCAAGGCAACAUUGCUCGCCCCCCUCGACGCCCUCCCCUCCGCCCGUUCCCAGGCCGCCUCCAUCCUCGCCUCUUCUACAGCCGCCCGCGCCUCCGCUGCUAGGAACUGCAUCGACCAUCUCGCCCUCUCCCAACGCCGCCUCUCAGACGCCUCCAAUUCCCUCUCCGAAGGCCGCACUGCCGACGCCCGCACCUGGGCCGGUGCCGCCCUGCUUUACCAGUACGACUGCUGGUCGGCCCUCAAGUACGUCAAUUCCUCCCGCCGCGUGGCAGAUGCUAUGGCCGCGCUACUCGAUCUGACAGCCCUCACCAGCAACGCCCUUUCCAUGAUCGCCGCCCUUCAGCGAUUCGGCCACGAUGUAUCCCUUUGGGCGCCGCCGCAAACCGAGCGCGACGGAUACUGGGGCGACGCCCCAGCCUCCUCCGCCCUCCGAUCCGGCGGUGGCGCUAGCUCCCUCAUUUCCACCUUCCCCAUCGACCGCCCACCCAAUGCCACCGUCUGCAAGACCGGAUCUUGCGACUACCGAACAGUCCAGGAAGCGGUCGACGCCGCGCCUGAUUUGUCAUCGGACCGAUUCGUGAUCCGCAUCGAAGCAGGCGUUUACGAGGAGACGGUUCGCAUUCCCUUCGAGAAGACCAAUCUGGUGUUCAUAGGGGACGGGAUGGGGGUCACCGUCGUUACCAGCUCACUAAGCGUUGGUCAAAACCAGGGCGUCCUCACUACCUACGACUCCGCCACCGUUGCUGUCUUCGGCGACAAUUUCGCCGCUCGCGACCUCACCUUUGAGAACAGCGCUGGCGUCGGCGCCCACCAGGCGGUCGCCUUCCGCUGCGACAGCGACCGCUCCGUGCUCGAAUCGGUGGAGUUCAGGGGACAUCAGGACACACUGUACGCCCGUUCUCUGCGCCAGCUCUAUCGCAGAUGCCGCAUUACUGGAACGUUGGACUUCAUCUUUGGGAACUCGGCGGCGGUGUUCGAUCGUUGUAGCAUCGAGGUGGUGCCGCGCGCUGAAGGGCUGACGAAAGCCGGAAGCAACCCGGUAGCGGCCCAUGGGCGGACCGAUCCGGCUCAAGCCACGGGGUUCGUGUUCAAUAGGUGCUCGAUCAAUGGGAGCGCGGACUACCUGGCGGCGUACGAGAGGAAGCCAGGGGCGCAUCGGGCGUACCUUGGGCGGCCGUGGAAGGAGUACUCAAGGACGGUGUAUGUGAAUUGCUAUAUGGGCGAGGUUGUGAUGCCCGAGGGGUGGUUGCCAUGGAAGGGAAACUUUGCGUUGAGCACGCUGUUCUACGGGGAGUAUGGGAGUUGGGGACCGAGGGCUAGUGCGGCAACCAGGGUGAACUGGAGCUCCCAAGUACCGGAGGAGCAUGUGGGUGUUUACUCUCUAGACAAUUUCAUUCAAGGGAAUGAAUGGGUUCCAUCUGAGCAGUAAAGGAUUUAUGGAUUGGGAACUGCUGGUGAGCAACUUGUGAUGGUUUCUAGAUUUCAGGGAAUUUGAUGAGAUGAACACUGGGUCCGUUCUGUACUGACAAAGAUUGAUUGGGUUGUAUACUGAGAUUGUGCUUGAGAGUUUUGGAAUGUAUCUUGGUGGUCUUUGAGCACCGUGUUUGACCCUUAUCCUAGGGUAUUUAUUGGUGUAGAGUUGUUAGGACAAGUAAGUUACUGGGUACCUCAGAUGUCACUUUUAAGCAACAACACAUGUGAAGCGAAUUCUAGAGGAACCUGAGUUUUCAAGAAAAUCUUUAAGAUGUUUGUAUUCUUCUCAACUCUGGAAACAACCUCUUGCAAAAAAAAACAGGAUAAGGUUGCGUACAAUGGAUCUUGACCCCACAUAGCGGGAGCUUCGUGCACCAGACUUCCGAGUAUUCUUCUUAACUCUUGGUAACAAUAGAGGAUAUUGGAGAUGAGUUAAUAAGGUGAUAGCAUAUUAGCAAUUUUUGUAGUAAAGUGGCACUCAAACUUCUGCCAACAUUUGUUAAAUGGUUUGUGUGACACCAUAGUGGACAAUGUGUGGCUAAAAGUUUUGUCAGCAAUCACAACCCCAGCCACAUUCAUCCAUAGGAAACAACCUUUGAAGAAGUGGAUGGUGGCUUCCACCAUCUAUUAUGUUGACCGAUAUUACCAUAUCAUAUAGUGAAGAUCCAUGCGAUGGUGGAUUAUGGAGUUCCAAGUAGCAACUUGAAGUUACUAUGAAUGUGAUUAUAUAUACGUAUAUAAUUAAAAACUCUUGAGACUGGCUAUAUUGAAUAAUAACAAGUGCAUCUGUCUUUCCCAUGUCUAUAACAUGUAUGUACAUACCAUAUUGAAAGAUCUUGCAGUUGUUUGUAAUAUGUCAAAUAAAUUUAUAUCUAUUUAUAACAUCUUGUAAGAUUGAAUAUGAAUCUCUUAUACAAAAUCUGAAUAAGGUUUAGCAAAACCUAAUUUUCAUGGGAGAUUUGAAAUAUGAUAAUAAAUGAUUGUGGUUCAUUUCAAACAGUAUUUAAAAUUCAAUAUAGGAGAAUAUCAAUUCAAAUAUUCCCUAAUACUUGGGCAUUAACCUGAUCAACAACAUAUUUAAACUUCAAUACAUGGAAUUAAAUUAAAUAAACAUUUCAAACAAUUUCAUUUUAUUUAUUUUUUAUCAAUAACCACUAGCAACUAGUAGAUUGAAACAAUUUUUAAUGAAUCCAGAAUGUUUUUUGCCUGUAAUAUUGCACAUCUUAUCUUCUUUGCUGGCGUGCUCAAAAUUUUAGUUUUAAUCAUAUUUUGACAAUUUUUAGCACCUUUUUUCACCCUUAUCCUACGGAAAUGAUAUAAAUUUGUUACAGAAGAAGAGGCUUGAUGCUGGGUGAUUGAGAUAUCGCUAGAUGCAUGAGAAAUAAAUAAACUGGAUCCCCAAAUGUCAUUUUGCAAGCAAUAACAUGAGUAAAGGGGUACCUACUAAAUUAGAGAAACCUGGGUUUUCUAGAAAACCUUCAAAAUGUUAGUAUUCUUCUAGACAGUCGUUAAAAAAAGAGAGCAUUGGAGCUGGAUCAAAAGGUGGUGCAUAGUUGCACUAGAUAUAGUAAAGUGACACUCAAACUUCUCCCAACAUCACUCUGUUGGAUGGUUGGUGUGACACCAUUGUAGACAAAUGUGGUAAAGUGUUUGCUUAGUGAUCACAAGCAGGAUUGCACUCUCAUCCAACUGUAAAGAAUAGAACCUUUGCUGUAGUGGAUGGUGGCUUCCACCAUCUUUUCCUUUUCUUUGUUUUUGUGAGAACUCAUUACUAGAUUGAAUGAUAGCUAAUAGAGAGACCAUGAGGAAAGAGACCUCCUUGGCAAUCCACUAAGUCCAUCUGUUAUGUUGACCACAUUUGGUACAGCGAGGGUAGAUAGUGAAGAUUCAGUGUGAGGGUGGAUUAUGCUGUUAGGGUCCAAAUAGCAGCUUCAAGUUAACAUGAGUAACAGAUUAUCUUUUUUUUGUUGUUGAAAACUCUUGUUACUAGGUUGAAUGAUAGCUAACAAAGAGGAAACCAGACCUACUUGACAAAAGCACAAAGCAGCACAAAGUGCAAAAAGAUGAGCCAUGAGGAUGAAGCCCACCAAGCAUGUAAUUUAGAGAGGCUAUGGUUGUGUCAUUCUUGAUGCAAAAGGUGAAUACGUUCGCCUCCAACGUUCCCGCCAAUCCAUCUUAGGAUCAAUACGGAGGAGGACGUAGAUGAUGAUGAUGCAGAUGGACAAGAGGAAGAUUGCUACGUCGAUGGUGAGUGCGGUCAUGGCCUGGUCGGUAAGCUCAAUGUUCUUGCUGCUGAGGUGGUCGACGGUGAGACGGAGACGAUGGCAUUUGGUUCGUGCUUGCUUUGACACGAAGAGACUUGCAGGUUUAGUUGGGGGGUUUAGUUGGGGUCCGAGUCAUUCAGCUCGCAUGGAUCAACAUAACCCAAGCACUAUGGAUGGUAUUGGUAAGGAUAUGUCAAUGUGGCCAGCUCGGGUCUCUAAAUGAAUAUGGUGUUCAUGAAUAAACUACUCGGUUGUCUAUUCGAUGUUUUAAAAUAAAUUAAAGAAGUUUAAACACUGUUAAAUUGACUUUAUUAGCAUUUAUAAAUAUUAAUUGUGAAUGAUUCAUAAAA
This is an RNA transcript of Zingiber officinale, 4482 nucleotides long. It is a transcript of the gene named probable pectinesterase/pectinesterase inhibitor 64, with no coding region annotated. NCBI's taxonomy places the organism in Eukaryota, Viridiplantae, Streptophyta, Magnoliopsida, Zingiberales, Zingiberaceae. The transcript is spliced from 4 exons. The record is from RefSeq and is a predicted model, not a curated record.